GACAGAGGGUGCAAACGUUGUUCGGAAUUACUGGGCGUAAAGCGCGUGUAGGCGGCUUGGCAAGUCGGGUGUGAAAGCCCUGGGCUCAACCUAGGAAGUGCACUCGAAACUGCCUCGCUGGAGUGCCGGAGAGGAAAGCGGAAUUCUCGGUGUAGAGGUGAAAUUCGUAGAUAUUGGGAAGAACACCGGUGGCGAAGGCGGCUCACUGGUCCGAUACUGACGCUGAGGUGCGAAAGCGUGGGGAGCAAACAGG
RNAcentral lists this ribosomal RNA (253 nucleotides) under uncultured bacterium. RNAcentral's name for it is "partial 16S ribosomal RNA". It matches the Rfam family "Bacterial small subunit ribosomal RNA", at positions 524 to 776 of the family's 1533-position model. The record is from RNAcentral.